Molecule: long non-coding RNA, 10018 nt
Filed under: Populus tremula
Lineage: Eukaryota; Viridiplantae; Streptophyta; Magnoliopsida; Malpighiales; Salicaceae
Description: long non-coding RNA (PTRE_LNC001449)
Source: RNAcentral
UUAUUUUCUUUUAUUUUCUUCUUUUUUUCUUUUACAUUCACAUAUUACAAAUUUAAAAUAAAUAAACAAAAAUUACAUUAAAACUUUAAAAUUUACAAAAUGGUCCCUAAAAACUCCAGAAUUGCAGGGAAGGAGUCCUGGGGGCUGCGUGAACAGUUCCGGCGCGUGGAUCCACGCGCCGCCGCAAACAAAAACAGGGGACAGGGUGGAUCAGGCUCGGCUUCUCUCUUUCUUCCUCUCCUCACCGGCGGUGAAAGCCCCCCGUUAUCUGCAGAACGAAGAAACACACAAAACAGCAGUUGAUUUUAACUUUUUUUCGUUUUCAAUCUGUUCUCUUUGAUCUGCUUCUCUGCAGAUCGGUUCUUUCGGCGUCUUCUUCUUCUCUAAUUCAGGUAGCAGAUCGUAUGCCCAAGGGGUGGCCGGCGGCUGAGCUUCGGUCGUGGCUGUGCAGCGGCCUGUGCUGGUUCGGGCGAGGAUGGCAGUGGGCGCCGCUGUGUCGGGCUGCUACUGGAGGAAAGGAUGGAGCUGGGUCUGCUGUGGUGGCUUGAUGGUGGAGAUCGGAGAGCUUGUCCGUGAGAAGGGGUCUCGGCUGAGAGGCAGUCGAUCGGUGGAACGGAGAAGAAGAAAAAUUAAAGGAGAAAUGGGGGGGGCUUGAGCUGCGGUGUAGAGAGAAAAAUUCAACGUGGGGGCUGUUGUUUGGCUGGUUUUGAAAGGAAGAAAAAAAACGUUAAGAGCCCCGGGGCUCUCUGGUGUUUUCGGGUCAAAAGAGGGGGGGUCUUGAGGAAGAGAGAGGUUGUGGCUGAGAGAGGAGAACGCAGGGGCAGCGCCGGUGGUGGUUAGAGGAGGAGAUGAUGGGGCGGUGAAGGGUUUUAUUUUGGCUUUGGCCGGGGGAAGAGAAAACAAAAAAAAUUCAAAAGGUGAGGGGCUCUGCUUGGGUGAGCAGCCGCGAGAAGGAAAAACAAAAAAAAUUGGCUUUUUGGGUCUGUGUGGGUGAGGCUGGCUUUAAUUUCAAAGAGAGGGGAAAACCGUGAAGAUGGGGACCCGGCUGCAGGUUGAAGAUGAGAAAAAAAAUGGCCGGCUGCUGGGGGAGAAAAUAGGAAACGGGGAGAAGAAGAAAAUCCCCAAAGGGAUUGGGGACUGUGGGUGCCUGCCCCCCUACUGCCGGGACCCCGAAAAAUAGCUCCAAUCUCCUUUUCUUGCAAAACUGAGAAUGAGAAGAAAUAGGGGCCUUUUCUCGUGAGGAGAGCCAACAAGGAAAAGAAGUCCUGGGUGGGGGCUGAGUUCAUCAUUUUUAGCCGAAAGAGAGGGAUUAAAUAAUGGUAUUGGGCCAGGGGCAACGGCUAAUUUUGGGUGAAGAGAAAAAAAUUCUUAGGUUGCCCCUCCUUCCAAAAUUCAAAAUUCCCUUAGGCAAAAAUAUUGUUUCGGCCUCAAAAUUGGUCCCUUAAUUUUCUUUUUUUUUUGUAAAAUUUAAUUUUUCUUGUUUUUUUGUAUUUUUUUGAAAACGAGCAAUAUCAACGUCGACUCAAAUACGGACAAUCAAUUAUUUUAAAAAUGACGCGUGAAAAGUCGAACACGUUCGAAAGACCCUUAAAAAAAUUUAAAAAAAAAAAAAAUUUUAAACGACGUUGAAAAUGCUAAAAUGACGAAAAUAUAUUAAAAACAUAUUUUUUUGGAUUUUCUUUGUUUUUCUCUAUUUUUGGAUUUUUUGAAAAUAUAUCAAAAACAUGGGUCAAAAAUUGGGUAGCAACAGAUGCCCCCUCUUUACAAUGCUUACGAAGCAAAAAUCCUCGAUGUUUUGCAUAGUAAGCUUUGUAAAGAAAAACUUGUCUUUCUGUUUGCUCAAUAUAUUUUUUUUGUUAACCUGAGAUCCCAUCUGGCGACCUCCUUUACCAAAACCAAAGAAUGCGUGUAGCUCGGUCAACCCGAAACCCCAAUGGAGAUUCCCUUUAACCAAAGCUACAUGAGAUCCCAUCUGGCGACCUCAUUCAACUGGAACAAAAAUAUUGUGUAACUCGGUUAACCUGAAAUCCCAUCUGGCGAUUCCCUUUAACCAAAGCUACCCGAGAUCCCAUCUGGCGACCUCAUUUAACCAAAACAAAAGAAUGUGUGAAAAAUGGUCUCAUUGUAUGGGUGACGAACCCUAGAAAAAUGAUGGUCUCAUUGUAUGGGUGACGAACCCUAUAAAAAUGAUGGUCUCAUUGUAUGGGUGACGAACCCCAGAAAAAUGAUGGUCUCAUUGUAUGGGUGACGAACCCCAAUGGAAAGGAGGAAGAGUGGUCUCAUUCUUUGGGUGACCUACCCAGGGGGAAGAAUGGCCUCAUUCUUAUGGGUGACCUACCCAGGUAAAAAAAAAAAAUGGAGAAUGGUCUCAUUCUAAUGGGUGACCUACCCAGAAAAAAUGGUGGUCUCAUUGUGAUGGGUGACAUACCCAAGUGGAAAGGGGAAAGAGUGGUCUCAUUCUUUGGGUGACCUACCCAGGGGAAGGAAUGGCCUCAUUCUUAUGGGUGACCUACCCAGGUAAAAAAAAAUGGAGAAUGGUCUCAUUCUUUGGGUGACCUACCCAGAAAAAAUGGUGGUCUCAUUGUGAUGGGUGACCUACCCAAGUGGAAAAAGGAAGAGUGGUCUCAUUCUUUGGGUGACCUACCCAGGGGGAGGAAUGGCCUCAUUCUUAUGGGUGACCUACCCAAGUAAAAAAAAGAUGGAGAAUGGUCUCAUUCUUUGGGUGACCCACCCAGAAAAGAUGAUGGUCUCAUUGUGAUGGGUGACCUACCCAAGAUGGAAAAAAUGUGAAGUGUGGUCUCAUUGUAAUGGGUGACCUACCCAGAUGGAAAAAAUGUGAUGAAGUGGUCUCGUUGUGAUGGGCGACCUACCCAGAUAGAAAGAAUGUGAAGUGCGGUCUUAUUAUGAUGGGUGACCUACCCAGAGGGAAAAAAAAUGUGAUAUGACAAGUGUGAAAAAUAGGACUUACCUGGCGAAGUCCUGAGGGGAUGACAGAAGAAGGGCUGGAAAACUUGGUGCUUCCUGAUAAUUCCCGAUCAUAGGGUUUGAAAACUCGGUGUUUCCUGACUGCAAGGGUUGAAAACUCGAGGCUUCCCGAUUGCAAGGUUGAUCUUUCCAUUUCUUUGGGAUUUUCCUAAUGGUAAGGUUUAUCCCAUCGUCCUUUUAUUCCAUGAUCAAAACCGAUUCUUUAUUAUCAUCACCACAAUGCUUUUUUUUUUUCCACCAUCUUGCUGGACCUCAUUAAGGAUUUUCCUGUAACAAUUCAAAAAUAUGUGCAAAUGUUUUUUUUUUUUUUUUUGGUUAGAUGAUAUGCAUGCAUCCUUACCUGAUUUGAAAUAUAGGUCCCCCCCUCCUUGAUGCUCCAUCGUCAUAGGGUGCCCUUUGUUGCAUCCCAAAGCUUUCUUGUUCUUCGAUGCAUUGGCUCAUUCAUGUGCUAGCCAUCCACUCAGCUGUAAAUGCAGUGCCCAUCCCGGGCUGUCUCCGACAAUUACUGCUCGCAUCGCUCAUCAAGCUUGACAAUGCCCCCAAGUGUGGUGAUGCUUGAUUCAUCAUGAAGACUUUUCUCUCUUGGAUUCUUCUGAGAAUUAUCCUCUGAUUGAUUGUGUGCAUCAUGCCAAUAACCAUCAAGAUUGUUAAUCAGUCAUGAACUUGCCUUCGGUUGAAACACCAUUCAAGUAUGUAUGGUCACCAGCCUUCAUGGAAUUGCCAAGUCAUCCAGAAAUGGAACUCAUGCUUUGCAGUAAACGGCUCAUCAUUGUAAGCGCGAUGUAUUUCUUUAUGGAUUCCUCUUAGCUUGUCAAAUCAGAUCGUGAAAAUAACUGCUUUGACAUCAUCAAUGAUGUUCAUGUUAUCACCCAUAUUCAUGCGGUGAAGUGCGCAUUUGAGCUUCAGAAUAGAUGGUCCCAUAGUCAAUCUUAGUGGUAUGCAUAUGUUCGAUGUUCAUUCAAAUGCACUCACCCGAUAACAUCUGUCAGGAGUCAUGGCCAUGUUUUACAGGGUAACCCAAUAUGAAGAUAUCCUUCAAGUGCAGCGUUGCUCAUCAAUUGCUGCUGAAGUGCACUAGAUCAUGGAUUGUCUUUGAACAAAUUGCCCCUAGUUGAUCUGAACAUGCUCAUUCUUCUAUUUACAAACAAAUGGCUUUUGUGAAUGUCAGGAGUGACUUUGGUGGACUUUGAUGACUCAUCAUGUGAUUCUUUCUUUGCCCCCAGCUGAUCUGGAUAUUGUUUGCUUUUCUUCUAAGGGCCCACUGUAUUGCCCCCAGGUGGUCAACGUUUCAAAGAGUGUCGAGAAAUGUUGAUGUCAUUUUUGUCGAGGAUUUUGCAAACUCAACUGAUGUUCUUGUUUGAAAAUCUUUCUUGUUCUGGAAUCAAAUCUCACAUUUCAACGAUCAUGUCUAUUCAAGUCUAAAUGUUGAAAUGAAAUCAGAGAGAUGUCUGUUUUUUGAAGUUAUUAUUUUUUCUUUUGAAAUUCAAACCUCUUUGGUCAAAGACCCAACACACUAUUCAAUGCAGUCCUUUGAUUGUCUUGUAUUUUGAAAACAGAAAUGACCCGUUGUAAGAUUUAAAAUGACUUUUUCAUGGUUCUUUGUGUCCACUUUAAACUCUGAUUUUGGGUAUAUCUUUUGAUGGUCUGUGAUGAGGUGACAUUUUUAUGAAUUUCAAAAACAAGAUGCUCAGGCUUUAUCAAGAAAGGUUGUUUCUUUUCUUAGCAUUUAUUUUAUCAGCAUGCAUAAUAACAGAUAGCUUAAUUCAUGAAGUCACGACCCUUAUGGAAAAACUCUUCAAGUUUUGAGAGCGCCAUUUAUCGAUUCAAAUUGCUUGCUUGAUUAAAAAGGGCUUUUAAAAGCACGUAAUGCAGGCUAUGGUUCAUGGCUAUGAAAGAAAAGAAUUUCCAAGGCUCAAAAGGUGUUUGAGGGUUUCAACGACCUAGGACCAACAUUAACUAUUCAUCGAUUCUCUUUCUCUUGUUGUCAUUGUAGAGAAAGUGACAUAUAACCUUGUUAAUCUUCAGAUAUCAGAAUUCUCUUAACAUAGGUCGUAAUCCAACUUUUUCUUUGAUGAAUAACUAAUCUAAUUUUGAAGACAUUAGAGGCUCUAUCCGAGACACACCAAAAGAUAUGAAGCAUCGAUUUUUCUAGUGUUGACUUUUGGCAUUUAUUGUCUUUUCUCAUUUGAAAGUUGUCUUGCCUCUCUUAGAAUUGGUAGGCAUUUUCUUUCAUUUCCUCAAAGUUUUUCUUGGAUGGCCCUCAAUCUAUGGAUUUUCUCCUUCUAGCCCUUUCUCAAACAUUGGACUUUUGUUCUAAGCUUUUCUUUGAUCCAUUGAUUUUAUCCGUGUCUCCAAAAUAUUUAUCAUUUGCCCCUAGUGUGGGGUGUGAUCCUAGACAGGGUUUUUAUGAAAAAAAAUAUUCUAUACAGCUCAAAAUGGGACUACAAGGGAUAUAAUCUUUAGAAAGUGAAGGGAUAUCAAAGAUGGCCUUUUCUCAUUUCAAGCAAGGUCGGUUAGAAUCGAUAAAUUUUGACCUCAUCUAGUGUAAUGAUUUGGACUUGUAAGAGUCAUGAUUCAUGAGUCCAUAGAUACCGAAACCACUACAUGUCAUUAUGCAUACUGUUAAAACUUAGCUACAUGAUGUGUGGUUCAGUUUCAGGAAGUAUGAGUUCAAAAUUUGUUCGGUCACCUCAUGUCAUUUCAACAAGAAUCGAGUCAUUUCUGCAAUCAAAACACUUUUAAUCUUCAGGAUUGAUUAACCUUUAUCGCAUCUUGGAGUUUGACCAAAAUAUUUUGUCAAAAUACCCUUUGAAAGAAGUAUCUCUUGAUUUCAAAACAACCAGAAGACAAAGAAAAGACAUGUUUCGUUUAAGGAUGUGAUGUGAUCCCAAAACAAAAUGCAAAAUGUCAAAAAUCCAUAACAAAAAUGCUUGACAGUUUAACUCCUUCUUGGAUCAGCUUCUCUGGCAAUAUCUAUGUUUUACCUAGCAAUUCCGAUCACUUGUCAUUCUGAAAAUGAUUGACGACAUCAUCUUUCGCAAAUUGAGCUCGACUCUUGAAACUCUUGCAUCUGCUUAACUAAAAUGGCCGAGGACCCCCACCAUGAGAACACAUCUCUUGUCCAGAUUGAAACACCUAGAAAUUGGUGGUUGCAUGGGAUUUGUCGGAGUCAAGCAAAAUUCUGAAAUCUGGCAGAUGCUGGUCGACAAACUUAAACGGCAGAGGAAUGUCCCAUCUUGGCAAAGACAUUUGAGCAAUUGAUGCUACCGUGAGACUAGCUAUACCACAUAAUUAAGGGUUCACACCGUCGAAGUCAUCUCCUGAUUCACCUCUCAUCAUUGUUCUGGAAUCCAUGGCAGAUCCUUCAAUCUUUCCUCUCUUCAUAGUUUGUUCAAUUCUUCGGCAAAUCCUCACAACAUCAUUUCAAUGUUGCUGGGGUUGGUUGAGGAUUGUUAGAAAACUUUCAAACAGCUUUGUAAUCUUGGCAGCGCCCAGAAACUUGUAGUAUCGCCACUACCGACGUGUGGAAUUACACAUUGUCUCUAUUGGAAGAAGCACCUGAUGAAUAUAAAACUCCUUUGUCCCCUCUUCGAUUUCUCACUGACAGUGCAGCAAACAAACACCUAUAGAGGAAGUCCUGCUCUGUUGAAGUUUCAGUAUUCUUCAUGUUUUUCAGUCUAGGCAUGUCUCUUCUCUCUACUUUUGAGUUUUAAUACUGACACUAUUGGAGGAAAAUCAUAGAUGAUCUGAAACUACUGUGUUCUUUCUUGGAUUUUCCACUUGCGGAUCCACAAACAGAUUCCUGCCGAAAGAGCUCUGCUACGUUGAAGUUUGAUGUCUGCUCGUAUUAUUCAGACCAGGUCUGGCUCUUCAACCUACUAAAAGGUCUUCGUGCUGAAGCUGAUGAGUGAAAUAUUUGUAGCAUAUGCAACUUAUAAAUCCCCUCUUGCAUUUCCAAUUUGCAGAGCCAUAAAUGGAUUUUUGUAAAGAGAGCUCUGCCACAUUGAAGUUCAGUGUUUAAUCAUGGUUUUUCAGACCAUCUUGUGCUGCUGAACUGGAAUUGAGCUCAUAAUCGGGGUAACUUAAAAGCAGACUAAUGCACCAUGUAUAGGAGGCUAGUAGUCGUUUGGUUCCAUUAGAUGAUGUGGAGGCAAUGAACACUUAACAAUGCAACUAGACAAGAAUCAGAGUUGUCAUUAGCUGAUGACUGAAGGCGUCGUUGCUGUUGUUCAUGACUGAAAAGGAGAGAUACAGCUUCGAUUGGACGUGAACAAGUAGUGUUCCCACAGAAGACUGUGCAGGCAUUCUCUUUCCAUUUGAUGCUCAACACUUGUUCGAGCAGAUCUGAGUCCAACUAUUUCGCCUUUGAUGCUCUCAAACUCAAACUGAUAAUGAGCCUCUAUCUGACAUCUUUCUUCACUUCCAUCCUUUCUUUAAUCACUUGCAGCACAGCUUGUGCGGGGGAACCUACUUUUCAACUCGGUACAUGCAUGAUAAAUGUAUGAACAUGUAAUCUAUAUGACGAACUCACCCUUCGAGGGGUGACAAUAUGGUCGUAACUCUUGUAUGAUGGAGCAAGAAUCGUGAUUUUUGCCCAAACUCUACAAUGAAAAUUUUCGGAGUGACGGCCAAUGUGUCACCUACAAGUCUUGAGUUCAAGAUGCUUCAAGAAAGGUUUGCUCAAAUGCAAAACAAAACAAAUAUUUACGGAGCAUACAUCCUACAGGCAAGUUCUAAUCUUUUUACGUGAGACAGGGUAGGUUUGCUACUUGGUCUCUAAAAGGGUCUCUUGUUGUCCCAGUGAUCGCCUUCGUAAAGGCAAUAUAGGGGCCCAGUAGGUAAUUGGUUGGCACGUGUCCAACUAUUACCAGUCUAAGCACUCAACAAAGAGUUGGGGUUUACACAAACUUAAACCUUGACUCAAGUCGUAAGGCAAGCUGCUAGUCCCCCACCUAACCUAAAGCUGGUGUUUGCUUUCAAAAAUUAAAACUUGUGAUGCAUGAGAGAAAUAUAUACAAUGCAUGAAUAAAACACAAAUAAAUAAAACAAAGCACACAAAAAAAAAUUGAACACAUCAAAACACAAAGCUUAGUCCGAUAAAGUUGAAAACAAUACCUUUCCCCAGUGGAGUCGCCAUCCUGUCGCACCCCAAAAAAUGAAAAAAUCCAUCCGGCGCGCGGCAUCGGGCUGGCGAUUUUUCUUGUUUUUGCGUUUGCUUUGAAUUUGUUCGUUGGAGUCGCCACCUAGUAAUUCAUUGAGGACUACUAGGAAACCUGAUGUACUGGUCUUGUCAGAGAUCGCGGAUAAGGGACUGGUUGUGGUUAGGGAAGGUAUUAGCACCCCUAACACACCCUACCUGAGGUAAGCUGCAUUGUGUUCUAAUGUGAUUUGAAAAUUUAAAAUAUUAAUUAAAUUCUAAGGCUUGAAUAAAUUAGUUAUUAAAUCCCAGAAUAUAUGUAAAAACUUGUUCUUACAUUUUCAUGGAAAAUACAACUUGAUUUUAUUUGUCCUUGAGAUAUUUAACCAUAUUUAAGAAAAUUUAAAAUAUUAAUUAAAUUCUAAGGCUUGAAUAAAUCAGUUAUUGAAUCCCCGAAUAUAUGUAAAAAACUUGUUCUUACAUUUUCGUGGAAAAUACAACUUGAUUUUAUUUAUCCUUAAGAUAUUUAAUCAUAUUUAAAUUAACAAUUAACUCUUUUUAUCCUUCUUUUAUUUUUACAAUUUAAUAACAUAAAUAAAAAUACAAACAAGCACACAUCUCUUUUUAUUAUUUAUUUUCUUUUAUUUUCUUCUUUUUUUCUUUUACAUUCACAUAUUACAAAUUUAAAAUAAAUAAACAAAAAUUACAUUAAAACUUUAAAAUUUACAAAAUGGUCCCUAAAAACUCCAGAAUUGCAGGGAAGGAGUCCUGGGGCUGCGUGAACAGUUCCGGCGUGUGGAUCCAUGCGCCGCCGCAAACAAAAACAGGGGACAGGGUGGAUCAGGCUCGGCUUCUCUCCUUCUUCCUCUCCUCACCGGCGGUGAAAGCCCCCGUUAUCUGCAGAACGAAGAAACACACAAAACAGCAGUUGAUUUUAACUUUUUUUCGUUUUCAAUCUGUUCUCUUUGAUCUGCUUCUCUGCAGAUCGGUUCUUUCGGCGUCUUCUUCUUCUCUAAUUCAGGUAGCAGAUCGUAUGCCCAAGGGGUGGCCGGCGGCUGAGCUUCGGUCGUGGCUGUGCAGCGGCCUGUGCUGGUUCGGGCGAGGAUGGCAGUGGGCGCCGCUGUGUCGGGCUGCUACUGGAGGAGAGGAUGGAGCUGGGUCUGCUGUGGUGGCUUGAUGGUGGAGAUCGGAGAGCUUGUCCGUGAGAAGGGGUCUCGGCUGAGAGGCAGUCGAUCGGUGGAACGGAGAAGAAGAAAAAUUAAAGGAGAAAUGGGGGGGGCUUGAGCUGCGGUGUAGAGAGAAAAAUUCAACGUGGGGGCUGUUGUUUGGCUGGUUUUGAAAGGAAGAAAAAAAACGUUAAGAGCCCCGGGGCUCUCUGGUGUUUUCGGGUCAAAAGAGGGGGGGUCUUGAGGAAGAGAGAGGCUGUGGCUGAGAGAGGAGAACGCAGGGGCAGCGCCGGUGGUGGUUAGAGGAGGAGAUGAUGGGGCGGUGAAGGGUUUUGUUUUGGCUUUGGCCGGGGGAAGAGAAAACAAAAAAAAUUCAAAAGGUGAGGGGCUCUGCUUGGGUGAGCAGCCGCGAGAAGGAAAAACAAAAAAAAUUGGCUUUUUGGGUCUGUGUGGGUGAGGCUGGCUUUAAUUUCAAAGAGAGGGGAAAACCGUGAAGAUGGGGACCCGGCUGCAGGUUGAAGAUGAGAAAAAAAAUGGCCGGCUGCUGGGGGAGAAAAUAGGAAACGGGGAGAAGAAGAAAAUCCCCAAAGGGAUUGGGGACUGUGGGUGCCUGCCCCCCUACUGCCGGGACCCCGAAAAAUAGCUCCAAUCUCCUUUUCUUGCAAAACUGAGAAUGAGAAGAAAUAGGGGCCUUUUCUCGUGAGGAGAGCCAACAAGGAAAAGAAGUCCU